This 292-nucleotide ribosomal RNA is filed under the name uncultured bacterium. Its description in RNAcentral is "partial 16S ribosomal RNA". It matches the Rfam family "Bacterial small subunit ribosomal RNA", at positions 505 to 796 of the family's 1533-position model. The record is from RNAcentral.
GUGUCAGCAGCCGCGGUAAUACGAAGGUCCCAAGCGUUAUCCGGAUUUAUUGGGUUUAAAGGGUGCGUAGGCGGGCUAUUAAGUCAGUGGUGAAAUCUCCGAGCCUAACUCGGAAAUUGCCAUUGAUACUGAUGGUCUUGAGUACAUUUGAAGUGGGCGGAAUGUGUCAUGUAGCGGUGAAAUGCUUAGAUAUGACACAGAACACCGAUUGCGUAGGCAGCUCACUAAACUGUAACUGACGCUGAGGCACGAAAGCGUGGGGAGCAAACAGGAUUAGAAACCCCCGUAGUCC